AGUGAACGCUGGCGGUAGGCCUAACACAUGCAAGUCGAACGGCAGCACAGUAAGAGCUUGCUCUUACGGGUGGCGAGUGGCGGACGGGUGAGGAAUACAUCUGAAUCUACUUUUCGUGGGGGAUAACGUAGGGAAACUUACGCUAAUACCGCAUACGACCUACGGGUGAAAGCAGGGGAUCUUCGGACCUUGCGCGAUUGAAUGAGCCGAUGUCGGAUUAGCUAGUUGGCGGGGUAAAGGCCCACCAAGGCGACGAUCCGUAGCUGGUCUGAGAGGAUGAUCAGCCACACUGGAACUGAGACACGGUCCAGACUCCUACGGGAGGCAGCAGUGGGGAAUAUUGGACAAUGGGCGCAAGCCUGAUCCAGCCAUACCGCGUGGGUGAAGAAGGCCUUCGGGUUGUAAAGCCCUUUUGUUGGGAAAGAAAAGCAGCAGGUUAAUACCCCGCUGUUCUGACGGUACCCAAAGAAUAAGCACCGGCUAACUUCGUG
RNAcentral lists this ribosomal RNA (491 nucleotides) under uncultured bacterium. Its description in RNAcentral is "partial 16S ribosomal RNA". It matches the Rfam family "Bacterial small subunit ribosomal RNA", at positions 29 to 507 of the family's 1533-position model. The record is from RNAcentral.